GAUGAGCCCGCGUUGGAUUAGCUAGUUGGUGGGGUAAAGGCCUACCAAGGCGACGAUCCAUAGCUGGUCUGAGAGGAUGAUCAGCCACAUUGGGACUGAGACACGGCCCAAACUCCUACGGGAGGCAGCAGUGGGGAAUAUUGGACAAUGGGCGCAAGCCUGAUCCAGCCAUGCCGCGUGAGUGAUGAAGGUCUUAGGAUUGUAAAGCUCUUUCACCGGGGACGAUAAUGACGGUACCCGGAGAGGAAGCCCCGGCUAACUUCGUGCCAGCAGCCGCGGUAAUACGAAGGGGGCUAGCGUUGUUCGGAAUUACUGGGCGUAAAGCGCACGUAGGCGGAUAUUUAAGUCAGGGGUGAAAUCCCGGGGCUCAACCCCGGAACUGCCUUUGAUACUGGGUAUCUUGAGUGUGGUAGAGGUGAGUGGAAUUGCGAGUGUAGAGGUGAAAUUCGUAGAUAUUCGCAGGAACACCAGUGGCGAAGGCGGCUCACUGGACCACAACUGGCGCUGAGGUGCGAAAGCGUGGGGAGCAAACUGGAUUAGAUACCCUGGUAGUCCACGCC
This 560-nucleotide ribosomal RNA is filed under the name uncultured bacterium. RNAcentral describes it as "bacterial SSU rRNA". It matches the Rfam family "Bacterial small subunit ribosomal RNA", at positions 224 to 801 of the family's 1533-position model. The record is from RNAcentral.